CAGGAGGAGAGCCGUGCGGGCAGGGCGGUUUUAACGCCGCGGGGGCCUCACGAGGCUCGGCACCGCCCUCGGAAGGGGCACCCGAGGGACGGCGGCCUGGCCGAGGAGACGGCGCCCCCUUCCCCUGAGGCGAGGAGGAGGAGGAGGAGGAGGAGGAGGAGGAGGAGGAGACCGAGACCGUCUGCCGUGACGCCGCGCCGAGCCGCGCAGGCGCAGCGCCCGUUGUAUCCGGCCGCCGCCUUUUCUCUCUUCCUCCUCGUCCCUCCCUCCCUCUCCCUCCAUCCCCUCCCACAGCCGCCGCGGUCGGUGCCGCCGCCGCCGCCGCCUGUGCGCGCCCUGCCCGCCCGCUCCCCCCCCAUCCACCCUCGGCUCUCCCCGCGGCUGCCCCAUGAGGCGAUGGCAGCGGCCAACUUCGGCAAGAUCCAGAUAGGAAUCUACGUGGAGAUCAAGCGCAGCGAUGUUGUGAAAAAUAUGCCUUAUCACACAGAAGAGCUAGAGAGUGAGCCAGAAUGUAGCUGCGAGACCAGCUGUGAGUGUGGUUCCUCCCGUCCAGAAGAUGCACCUUUCUCAGUUUUCCAGUCCAGUUGUGUUCUGCACACUUCCUCCUCAGACUGUUCCUAUCCUCUCCAUCUUGGCAAAUCUGAAAUACUACCUAGAAGAAGAGAGAAAUUAAUUACAUAUUUGCUCAUUUGGAGAGGGGUGGAAUACAGUGGUGUUGUCACUGUGUCGGAAGUAAAGCAGCAGAUGAGAAAGGACCUUCUGGUAAUUGAGGAAAGUGACUGA
Molecule: long non-coding RNA, 783 nt
Filed under: Anser brachyrhynchus (Pink-footed goose)
Lineage: Eukaryota; Metazoa; Chordata; Aves; Anseriformes; Anatidae
Description: lncRNA (ENSABRG00000002414.1)
Source: RNAcentral